UACGGAGGGAGCUAGCGUUGUUCGGAAUUACUGGGCGUAAAGCGCACGUAGGCGGCUUUGUAAGUUAGAGGUGAAAGCCCGGGGCUCAACUCCGGAACUGCCUUUAAGACUGCAUCGCUUGAAUCCGGGAGAGGUGAGUGGAAUUCCGAGUGUAGAGGUGAAAUUCGUAGAUAUUCGGAAGAACACCAGUGGCGAAGGCGGCUCACUGGACCGUUUCUGACGCUGAGGCGCGAAAGCGUGGGGAGCAAACAGG
This 253-nucleotide ribosomal RNA is filed under the name uncultured bacterium. RNAcentral describes it as "partial 16S ribosomal RNA". It matches the Rfam family "Bacterial small subunit ribosomal RNA", at positions 524 to 776 of the family's 1533-position model. The record is from RNAcentral.